CGCUAGCGUAUAUUAAAGUUGUUGCAGUUAAAAAGCUCGUAGUUGAACCUUGGGCUUGGCUGGCCGGUCCGCCUCACCGCGUGCACUGGUCCGGCCGAGCCUUUCCUUCUGGGGAACCGCAUGGCCUUCGCUGGCCGUGUCGGGGAACCAGGACUUUUACUUUGAAAAAAUUAGAGUGUUCAAAGCAGGCCUUUGCUCGAAUACAUUAGCAUGGAAUAAUAGAAUAGGACGGCCCUCCUAUUUUGUUGGUUUCUAGGGGAGCCGUAAUGAUUAACAGGGACAGUCGGGGGCAUCGGUAUUCAAUUGUCAGAGGUGAAAUUCUUGGAUUUAUUGAAGACCAACUACUGCGAAAGCAUUUGCCAAGGAUGUUUUCAUGAA
RNAcentral lists this ribosomal RNA (378 nucleotides) under uncultured eukaryote. RNAcentral describes it as "partial 18S ribosomal RNA". It matches the Rfam family "Eukaryotic small subunit ribosomal RNA", at positions 592 to 976 of the family's 1831-position model. The record is from RNAcentral.